ACUUUCAUUUUUAAUUAAACUUACACACGCAAGUCUCCUCGCUCCAGAGAAAAUGCCCUUUAUCUUCCUUUUUAUCAGAAGAAAAGGAGUUGGUAUCAGGCUCAAAUAGCCCAAAACACCUAGUUCAGCCACGCCUCCAAAGGACUCCAGCAGUGAUUAACAUUAAACACUAGCGCAAGCUAAAUUUAGUUAUAAUUUAUAUGGUCGGUUAAUUUCGUGCCAGCCACCGCCGGUUAUACGAAAGACUUAAAGUGAUAGCCACCGGCGUAAAGCGUGAUUAGGGGCAAAAAUUUUCUAAAGCUAAACUCUGACUUAAUUGUUAUAAGUUUUUAUCAGUAGGAAACCCAAUAACGAAAGUAGCUUUAUUACACCUGACUUCCCGGUAGCCAAGACCCAAACUGGGAUUAGAUACCCCACUAUGCUUGGCCCUAAACUUUGAUAAUUACUAUUAAC
Molecule: ribosomal RNA, 453 nt
Filed under: Leptobrachium gunungense
Lineage: Eukaryota; Metazoa; Chordata; Amphibia; Anura; Megophryidae
Description: partial 12S rRNA
Source: RNAcentral